This 450-nucleotide ribosomal RNA is filed under the name uncultured organism. RNAcentral's name for it is "partial 16S ribosomal RNA". It matches the Rfam family "Bacterial small subunit ribosomal RNA", at positions 332 to 798 of the family's 1533-position model. The record is from RNAcentral.
UACACUCCUACGGGAGGCAGCAGUGGGGAAUAUUGGCCAAUGGGCGCAAGCCUGAUCCAGCCAUGCCGCGUGAGUGAUGAAGGCCCUAGGGUUGUAAAGCUCUUUCACCGGUGAAGAUAAUGACGGUAACCGGAGAAGAAGCCCCGGCUAACUUCGUGCCAGCAGCCGCGGUAAUACGAAGGGGGCUAGCGUUGUUCGGAUUUACUGGGCGUAAAGCGCACGUAGGCGGACUAUUAAGUCAGGGGUGAAAUCCCGGGGCUCAACCCCGGAACUGCCUUUGAUACUGGUAGUCUUGAGUUCGAGAGAGGUGAGUGGAAUUCCGAGUGUAGAGGUGAAAUUCGUAGAUAUUCGGAGGAACACCAGUGGCGAAGGCGGCUCACUGGCUCGAUACUGACGCUGAGGUGCGAAAGCGUGGGGAGCAAACAGGAUUAGAAACCCGAGUAGUCCCAU